GUAGGGAAUCUUCCGCAAUGGACGAAAGUCUGACGGAGCAACGCCGCGUGAGUGAUGAAGGUUUUCGGAUCGUAAAACUCUGUUGUUAGGGAAGAACAAGUACCGGAGUAACUGCCGGUACCUUGACGGUACCUAACCAGAAAGCCACGGCUAACUACGUGCCAGCAGCCGCGGUAAUACGUAGGUGGCAAGCGUUGUCCGGAAUUAUUGGGCGUAAAGCGCGCGCAGGUGGUCUCUUAAGUCUGAUGUGAAAGCCCCCGGCUCAACCGGGGAGGGUCAUUGGAAACUGGGAGACUUGAGUGCAGGAGAGAAGAGUGGAAUUCCACGUGUAGCGGUGAAAUGCGUAGAGAUGUGGAGGAACACCAGUGGCGAAGGCGACUCUUUGGCCUGUAACUGACACUGAGGCGCGAAAGCGUGGGGAGCAAACAGG
Molecule: ribosomal RNA, 430 nt
Filed under: uncultured bacterium
Lineage: Bacteria
Description: bacterial SSU rRNA
Rfam family: Bacterial small subunit ribosomal RNA
Source: RNAcentral